AGUUUUUAAUACACUGCAUGUUUUGCUAACUAUUUCUCAUAUUUCUUUCGCUGACUGAACUUACAAAUGCGCUUCCAGAGUUUUCAUUUACGCUUCUGACUUCUUCGUUUACGCUUCUGAAGUUUUCGUUCGCAAUUCUGACACAAACCUACCGUGUGGGCGGGCUUAACAGCGGUUUGCUCUCAUUGGCUAGUGAGAUUUAGAUUGACGGCUCCUUGAACCGGAAGGAGAGCAGCGCGAAUUUUGGGUUCUGUGUGACAGUCUAACAACAGUAGAGUAAAACACUAUAUAAAAGCACAUCAACAAUAUUUAUAAAACCGAGAUGAGUAAGCAGGAGCGUCAUCAACAUCCUCAACCGCAGGGCAUUCGAGGCAGCCUGAGGGCCAAAGAGAAAUGUCACUUCUCCAGGAACAAGUGCAAGAGGAUAUCUUGCAGCGUAUGCUAACCAAGUUUAACUUGAUUUGUCGGAAUGAAGCUAUAGAUUUGGAUUACCUCCUGGAUGUUGCUCAGCAAGAACUUGCUUUGGCUAUUAAUGCAUCAAAUCAUGUUAACAUCCCAGAUAGUUUAGUUAUGGGUCUACAGGAGUUAAUCAACGUAGUUAAUAUAUCUCUGAAUUUGGAAGAGACUUCAGGAAACACAUCAGAAAUUGUAACUUACACCUGGGGAAACAUGGAUUACACAUCCAAAAAUGCUAAUUCUGUUUUCAUUUGCUCAACCUUAAAAGGUGUUUCAACUGAAAAUAUCAAUGCUCAUGUCAUUUCAUACCUGUAACUUUCAUCCAUCUUCAGAACACAAAUGAUCUUUUUUUAAUGAAAUCUGAGAUAUUUCUGUCCCUCUAUUGACAGCUACACAUAACUACCACUUUCAAGCCCCGGAAAUCAU
Molecule: long non-coding RNA, 882 nt
Organism: Carassius auratus (goldfish)
Lineage: Eukaryota; Metazoa; Chordata; Actinopteri; Cypriniformes; Cyprinidae
Exons: 3
Source: RefSeq, a predicted model, not a curated record